UUUGUCUACAUAAGUAGUUCCCUGUUCAAAAAAAAACAAAAACAACAACAACAACAAAAAAACCCUGAAGAAACAGGAAAAAAUGGAACCGAGAAAAAUAGCAGAUAUCUCUGGCUGCGUUCUUGUGGUAUCUGUAUUCAGUUCAGCUGAAUCCAAGCUCACUGGAAAUUUUCCUGAAACUUCUUUUCCAGAAUGUUCCAUGUGACUUUGGAGUAAUUUAAUGACUUCUCUUGAUGGACAGAAACUUCUUGGUGCUGUUUUCCUCCAUUCCAAUGCUAGAGAGCUCAUCUCUCCUCACCUCUGCACUUGCGAGCUGACAUCACUACGAGAAUCCAGGUGCCUCUUACUCACACAGGGCUUAUAUACUUGUGAGGUUCUGUGGCUUCUGGUAACUGCAAUGGAAAGCCCUGGGGCAGAAGAAAAGCACUUCUUUGAGAGAAGCAAACUGAAUGAAAUGCAGUUUCUGCUUCUGCUGUCAGAGAUCAGAUACAGCACAGGUCACAGAUGACAUCUGCUGCUGCUGUGACUCUUUUUUUCUACACAAUUUCUGAGAGAGUUGUGAUCAAGAAAUGUCAUACCUGGGUCUGUGUAUGACUAUUUUGCUGGUUUCUUUCAACCGUGAAGCAGGCGAAAGGUCUUUUCUAAAACAGCAGCCCUGUUUCUUGCAGUGUUGAGCAGGGAGUACUAAAAAAUUGCUGAAUACCCCAAGCAGGCCUAUUUUCUAGCACACCUGAGCUCCACAGUUCAGGCAUGAGGGUGUCUUGGUUCUUUGCCAUGUACAGGCAUGCCUUUCUGCUGUGUACAAACCCCUGAAUUUGUGACCCACAAAUAGCUGUUCCUAGUUUUGCUUCUGAAUUCCUUUUUCAUCCUCCUUUCACCUUUCUGUCUCCUAAUCUUCAUAACACUGCUUUCCAUCAUGCUUUACCAGGGAGCAAUUCAGUGAGGCCAAAGUUGUAUGUGAGUGAAUGAAUAAUACGUGGAGGCCAGUGUUUCUGAGAAAUCCAAUCAUAACAAAACAGCAGCUGUACCAGUAAAGGGCCUUUUAAUUGUUGGUGUAAAAAUUUAAGAACAUUGGGAAAUACAACUUUUGUGUCGUAACAACUUCAUAGAAUUUAAAAUGAUGAAAUCCAGUUCCCUGCCUGGUGCAUAUCUGUGAGGAAUCAGGUUUAAAAAAAAAAAAAAAAGCCAAAAAUCUUCUUUCAAAUCAAAUAUCUAAUUGAAUUGUGCUUACCCUAGAAAAAGAGGCUGUUCAGGUCAAGGUACAGUGCACAUGGGAAGGUGAAACAAAAUCUUGAAUUACUUGAUUUUCAGUGUCCUCAGCAGGAGCCUGAGACUUGGGUUCAGAUUUUGCCACCAGUAAAGCAGUAAGUGAUGAAGCUAGUAGUCAUGCACUGAGAAUAAUCGUUCCUGUUGGAAUAUUGCAUGUUGCCACCUCUGCUAAGCAUCUUUUCAUUCAAAACCACAGAAAAUACUGGCAAAUGUCACAAGGAGGCACAUGGAUGAGUGAAUUGAUUUAGUAGUUUAUUCAACAAAUGUUGUGUAACAUUAAUUCAUGUUUAUGCUUGCAAGCUAGCAAUUAAUUGCAGGUGGAAAUACCGUUGCAAAAUACACUAUUUGAAGCAGAUAGUGCAAUGUCAGAUCAGCCUACUGAACCGGCCAAUGCUCAAAAAUUGGUGUUAUAAAACACCAAUAUAAAAUCAUUAUGAAGUGUUCUGAGCUUUGGUACAAUUGAUGUACAAUGCUUGCUAUCAGGCACCUGGUACAUAUGUUUAUGUUAGAUUGCAAAAUAAAUUUAAGAGUAGG
Numida meleagris (helmeted guineafowl) is the source of this 1803-nucleotide long non-coding RNA. The record is from Ensembl. Lineage: Eukaryota; Metazoa; Chordata; Aves; Galliformes; Numididae.